CUCUGGCCUUAAACACGAAUGGAAUUCCUCGUGGCUGCCCUAUAACAUCCAAAUACAUUUCAUUGUUAUCUACAAACCUUUUCUCCUUUCGAUCACUGUGCUCAAUUAACUUUUCCAUGCCUGUAUAUAUUACCGUUAUGGGUGUUUUUUAACCUUACCGACGUACACAGCCCAACCCACCUUAAUGGUAAUGUAUUCAUUAAUUUAUCUCCCCCACACAUCCACUAACUAUCUGUAAUAGAAAAUGUCUGGUUUACAAAGAAAAAUAAUGUGGGUAUAGUUAUAUUUAUGUUAGUACAAUCUUUUAUACAAAAUGCCUCGUAGAAAGGUUGAACUGAUUAAUGAUUGGCUUUUCUUUAAACAGGUGCAUGAUGCUGCUUCGUGUGCAGUUUGGUAGAGAACAAACGUAUGUGAAGCUGUCUGAGCUUACAUUCAAAGCUUUCUUGAAAGAAGGUGAGAACAUAGACAGGUUUCUUAAUAGACAGAAAUGCAUGACCUCACAUUUUAGAAUACUUCUUGCCUAAUUUACUAUUUGCUUUUAUUACAAACUAGUGUGCCUAAAAUUUAACACACCAGAAGACAGACAGCCAGACAUGAAGGUGUGUGACCAGUCUGACACAGAGAUUGACUCAGAGGUUUUUGAAGAAUUAGUGCAGGAGUCUGGUGGGCCCUUCCGCAUCAUCUUGAACAAUGACGGAUAUGGUAAUCAUUCAAACAACUCACUUUUGUGUUUAUUCAUAUAGGCUCUGAUGUGACUAUUUAUCAUCAUAUUCAAAUACAAUAGCUGUAUAUAACCUAAUAUGGUUCUAUUUUGUACACAUUUCUUGCACAGGUGCCUCUCAGUCGUCAUCAUGCUCAGUAGCCUCUGAUGACACAGUCAUCCUGAAUUUUUGUGUGUAAAGAAGCAGCUGUUGAAGAAGGAAGCCAGCCUUAAAGGCCAUGCCAUACAAACUAUGAGGCAAAAGCGGUAGCAAUGGAUAUCACUAUUGAAUCUAAGCUUUGAUUGAAAACAUCCUAAAAACAAAGCCAUGGAGUUGAGUACAUUAUGUAAGAAUAUGGGAAAACCAAGUCUCUCACAGAAUCCACCAGACGACAGAUGAUUAACAUUCUCACUGCUGAGAUGACAGAAACCCAUGGGUAAGCAUUGAUAUUGAUAUACAUAUAGCCUGUGAUGAGAUUGUCAGUAUUACAAUUUUAAUUACUUAAAUUGUGUCCUCUAAUGUCAUUUGUGUGUGAUGUCUUCAUUGCAUUCACACAGGACAUCGCCCGCCAAAAGUGUCAGAGUGAUGUAUGCACAGGGCAUUGUGGCUUUGUUUCCCUAUUUGGAAGACCGUUUUUCACAACAUGGAUAUGUAAGUAAAAGUGUCAUUACAACCAGCAUAAUGUACAUCACUCAGUGGUAAGUUCAUAGUAUUGUUAUUAAUGAAUUUGUAAUUACUUAGGAACACUACUACGACCCUGAGAGUGGCUCUGGAUACCUUGCAUGGCGAUUGAAAACCAUACAAUGAAAAACUGCAGAAGAUAGAGGUGCCUCUGUCAGCAGAUCUUGCAAAGGUAUAGCGUCUUAGUGUAGAUCAUAACAAUAGUGAUUUGUUGUUACACUUGUGAGUUGUUACUUGUCCUGGCAAGAGUCACAUUGUGUUUUGUCUUAAGUUGGGGGACCAGGACAAACACUCUGCUGAUGAAGACACUGUCCGUGAGAAGAUGAAAGCUACCUUUACUUAUCGCCAAGCAAUAGUCAAUGAUGAAAGCAAAUCAGCAGAUGUCUUCUUGGUUUUCCCACAUUUUCUGGACACACCAGGACUUGUACAACAUCUUAAUUCAAUUAUUUCAUGGCAAUUCCCAGUAUAGCCACAGUGCAGUAACUCUCAUUGUUACUCUUUGUUUGUAUGUGUCUGUGUUAUGGAUUGAGCAAGAUUUCAGACUUCUGUUUGGAGAGACCACUGCCAACAAAUUCUUGGAGAAGUGGCCAACUUCUUUCAAAGCUAAAGUAAUAAUGGAGAGUCAUCGACUUGUACCCACUACAGAACUCUUGGAUUUGAUGCACAGUGCAGAGUCAGCGGCUGAAGUUGAGAAUGGUACGACAUUGUUUACUUGAUAUUUCUGAUUGCACAUGUGUGCAGUGCCCUUUUUGGUAAUGGUGCAACCUCUCAAAUGAAUAUGCUAUGAUGUUAACACAUUUUUGGUUUACAUAACUCUGUUAUGUAAAUAUGUAAGCUGGGACAGUGACAUGUCUACUAUUUUGCUGCUGCUACAUCUACUGCCACCAUCUGCGCAAGGUCGAAAAAGGCCAGGAAAGAUGUUUACAUCUCAAGCUGUCCAUCAGCUCAUUAAAUUAAAAAAGGUUUGUUAAAAAGUUGAAUGAAUGAAUUUUUCUUUACUUCAAUCUCACACACAGUUUGAGGUGUGAUCAAAUGUAGUCUAAUCAGAUUUUACUCACCACAACUUAUGUUGAAUGUCUUCUGUCACAGACUGGAAUCAGUGUGCAGCAGCAUUUAGACAACAUCACCCUUAGCAGCCAGUCCUACCUUCUUGCUGUAGGAACCACACCAAGCAGCAUUCACCACUACUUCAUUGUGAUCGACAAGCAUGCACUUCCUUGCAAGGCAACUGGUUCUGUGGGAGUCUUUGACAAACUCUUGAAGGCCCAUUAUGUCUUUGAGUUGAAUCUAAAAUGCCCCUGUUUUUUUUGUUUGAUUAUUGUAUUGUUUUGAUUAUUGUUCUGAUUAUAGAUGGAACACUGUAAUUGCUUACUGUGCCUUUAAUUACAGUUGCUUGUCAAGAACAUCUCCAUGCACAUGAAGUGAGAAAGCAAGACAAUGCAAAUAUGGAGACCACUAGCACUUUAAUGAUUUCUAAAAUAAAUACUAGCACUGGCAAUACUA
Molecule: long non-coding RNA, 2885 nt
Organism: Cynoglossus semilaevis (tongue sole)
Lineage: Eukaryota; Metazoa; Chordata; Actinopteri; Pleuronectiformes; Cynoglossidae
Exons: 3
Source: RefSeq, a predicted model, not a curated record